GUCUACGGCCAUACCACCCUGAACACGCCCGAUCUCGUCUGAUCUCGGAAGCUAAGCAGGGUCGGGCCUGGUUAGUACUUGGAUGGGAGAAUAGAACACUUAAUGGACAGUAGCCU
Molecule: ribosomal RNA, 116 nt
Organism: Erinaceus europaeus (western European hedgehog)
Lineage: Eukaryota; Metazoa; Chordata; Mammalia; Eulipotyphla; Erinaceidae
Source: Ensembl